GUGGCAGUCCAAGUUCACACAGCCCUGGUCUGCUUGAAGUUGUUUGCAUACAUCAGUAUUUGGGAAACUAAGUUCGGUCCAAGAACAGAAAAUGUUUCCUGGCUACAUGGAGGGUAAAGCAAACGUGAAGUUGCCUCAUACGAGAAGAAUCCAGACAUGAGAAAUCUCAGCCUUUGGUCCAUUAUUUUGUAAAUCUGCUCAAAAGAGCAUGGAUUCACAAGAGAAGUGUCCAGGAGGAGGGUAGUGUCAGCCCCACUGCUCUGUGGGGCAGUAGGACCACAUCUCAGGCACUGGGUCCAGGUCUUGGCAGUCAGGAUGUCUCCAGGGGCUGUUGAGAAAUUGGAGUGCCUCCAGAGGGGAGCAAUGGGGACAGAAGAAUCUGGAAACUGGGUCAAAGAAGGAGCAGUUGAAUGAACAACGUGUGUUGGCCUGAAGAAGAUAAGUUGCAGCGGGGACAAGAAGCUGUUUUCAAAGUUUUCAAAGAUUUGAAGUGCUGUCAGGUGGAAGAGCAGUGAAAAUUGCGUGGCUCCAAACGGUAAAUACAGGACCAAUGAGUACGAGUCAUAGGGACGGUGUCCGCUGAAAAGAAGGAAGCAUUUUAUAAUCAUUAAAGAUGUUCAAAGUAGGUGGUGAUACUUGGUUAUAUAGGAAAUGUUUGUAUGAAGACUAGAUAUAUAUAAAAAUGUUGGAGGAAGAAUUUUUGAGCUUUUUUUUUUUGUCUCACCAAGCAAAUGAAACUUUUUGGAGAGAGAUGACCUAGCAAAAGAUUUUUUCUCUUGGUGAUCAGGAAAGGCAGUCUUUGCAGACCGAACCACUAGAGGGAGUCAGGGCAGCAGCGUUGCAAGGCCGCCGUCCAUUCUCUUCACCGAAGCAGCAACUGAUAGCCAGGCCUGGCUCUCAGGUUCUAAGUUCCCCUGAUUUCAAUAUCACCCCCAUGAAUCUUUCUGGAAUGUUUACAUCUGAUUAAAUUCUUCAAUGUCUGAGAGGCCUCUGUGUGUAGAGAGGCACAAUCACUGCUAUUUGUAGUCUGCUUACAUCUUUAUUAAUUAUUUAAUAAACAGUAUUCUCCUAAAAAUUCAAAUACUCCCUAAACGACUAAAAAUGAAAACUUAUGCAUUUAACAAAUGUGACAUUUUCCAAAUAUCUAAAUAUUAGUUUAUAAACUAAUUGAUUAUCCUAAAUAUAUGUAAUAUAUAGUGUAUAAUAUAUAUAUACUUCUAAAAUCACAAAUAUCCUAUAUCUAAGUCUUUUAAAUGCUACAAAUGCCUUAAAAGCAGAAACACACAAAUGAAUCAUCACAAUGAUACAUAUACAAAGUGAUGAAAUAUAGCUAAAAAGAUUUCCAAGCAAAGUGUUGAAGGUACCACCUGGUUUCUUCUUGGUGCUUAUAGUAAAAUGCAAGAGGAGAGUGAUAAAUCGAGGGAAGAACUGUUAAACAAAAAGGAAUCAAAGAUGAUUCUGAAAAUUCUCAGUCUCUCCAGAUGGCAAAAGAUGUUAAAAUUAAGAAAUCACUUUUGAGCUUGUGGCAUAGAGAUAAGUCCUGGCCUAGAGAAAAAGCUAAGUAGUGAUUGUACAAGCUUUUGUUAAAAUCUCAGGAAGAUUAAGGGAUCAGAGUAGUAUUCAGUCAUACAAAGGGCCCUCUCCAGAGAUUAAUGGUGUAUCUCACAGAACCUCUCAAAUAAUAGGACCUUUUGGAAGCUUAAUUGAGUUAUCUUUCAACCAUCUCAGCAGGAACUCAAGGUAGAAGGGGGCCUAGCUCAAAAAGAACCUUGGAUGUGGCCUUUAUGUAAAGGGAAAUUUACUGGAGACCCACAAAGUAUUUAAGAAAAGUAUUUCAGCAAAAACACUGCCAACUUAAACUGAAAGGGACGGAAAGAGUACAAAAUGAAAGGAGGCUGUUAGAUCUCCAAAAUUCUACUGGCAGGAAGCAGAAUGAUAAAACUACUCAGCUGCAAACAUGUGCUACUUUUCAUGAAAAAAGGAAAGAUGACUCAGAGGGUGGAACCAAGAGCUAUGGUGAAUUAUUCCCAGCCCUUGAAAUCUAAUCAAAGAAUUCUGACUGAAGUUUGCUAGGCUGGGUUUUAAAACUGCUUUGGACUGUAACUCCUUUUUAUCUUCCAUUGCCCACCUCUCCUUCUCUUUUUAACUAGAAAUGUCUAUAACUAUUUUACUAUAUUCAUUCCUUCAUUGUGCAUUAGGAGCAAGACGAUUUGUCUUUAGUUUUAUAGAUUGAGAGGAACUACGCUCAAGGAGCCUCAUGCAUACCUGGACCUGAUUUAAAUGAUGAGAUGCUGGACUUCAAGCAGAUGCUGUAAUGAUAUGAGGUUCUCAGGGACCUUGGGAAAUAGUAAAUGUAUUUUGUGUGUGAGAGGGACACAAAUCAUUGGAGGCCAAAAGGGUGAACUGAGGACAGAUGCUAGGGUAGCUCCCACAAUCCCCACCUCCUGGUUUCACCCUUGUGGGAUCUCGCCAUGAGUGUGGAUGGAACCUGUGAUUUGCUUCUAACUAGUAGAAUUUGGCAAAAAAUGAUGAGAUAUAUGUGAUUAUGUUUACAUGAUUAUAUUAUAUAAGAUUCUGAGUACAUUGAGCUGCAUAGAGAGAGCACGGGGGCAAGUGAGAGCCAGGUGGGUACUGGAAAGCUCUGUGCCUCACUGAGGAAAAAUAACUAAACAUGGGCAAAAGAGAUCCAUGGAACCUGAGAGGCAAGGUGUUAUUAUAUGCAUUCUUUGGCAAACUUGUCAGGAGGCGCAUAAGAAGAAGCACCCAGAUGGUUCAGUCAACUUCUCAGUUUUCUAGGAAGUGCUCAGAGAGGUGCAAGACCAUGUCUGCUAAAGAGAAAGGGAAAUUUGAAGACAUGGCAAAGGCGAACAAGGCUCGUUAUGAAAGACAGAUGAAAACCUAUAUCCCUCCUAAAGAUCCCCUUUAGGACGAAAAAGUAGUUCAAGGAUCCCAAUGCACCCAAGAGGCAUUCUUUGGCUGUUUUCUUGUUCUGUUCUGAGUAUUGCCCGAAAAUCAAAGGAGAACAUCCUGGCCUAUCCAUUGGUGAGUUGUAAAGAAAUUGGAAGAGAUGUGGAAGGGCACUGCCUCAGAUGAUAAGCAGCCUUAUGAAAAGAAGGCUGUGAAGCUGAAGGAAAAAUAUGAAAAGGAUAUUGCCUCAUACUGAGCUAAAGGAAAGCCUGAUGCAGCAAAAAAGGGAGUUGUCACGGCUAAAAAAAGCAAAAAAAGGAAGAAGAGGAAGAUGAAGAUGAUGAUGAUGAUGAUAAUGAGAGAUUCUCUCUCCCUUGCUGUCUUUGAAAAAGCAAGUUGCCAUGUGAAGAGGGCCAUAUAGCAUAGGAGCUGAAGGCAGCCUCCAACUGACGGCAAGAAAAUGAGGUCCUCAGUCUGACAACCUGCAAGAAACUGAAUGUUCUAAAAGCCACAUGAGCUUGGGAGCAGAUCUGACCCCAGCCAAAUCUCUGAAGUCCGCAGGCAGGAAAUGAAGAUCAGAAAAAGGCUAUUGUCUCAUGAAUAUGAGCCAGACUCCACAGAAGCUGGAGUCCUUCAUUAUGGAGCUAAACACAUACACCUGGCUUAGGAGUCAGAAAAACUGAAAGAGAAUUCAGGGAAGUAGAGAAAUUGCAAGCCCAGAUGCUGCUUCAUACCAAAGAAGCAAGUCAGCAGGUCAGCAACAAUGUGUAUCAGUUCCAAAAUGACUUACACAGGUACCAAGACAAGACAUUAUAUACACUUAUAUAGUCAAAUACUUUAAAACUGUUAACAAACUUGCUACAAUUGUCUCAUUUGUCUUUUAACCUUAAUAUCACAGAUCAAGUUUGUAAUCUCAAAAGUUCACCCUGGCUGCUGUGUGGAGUAUUCUCUUAUCUGCUCAUAUUACACUGUGCUUAUUCAUUCAUCAGUUAAUGGAAAUUUGGGUUGUUUCCUGAUUUUGACUGUAAUGAAUAAUGUUGCUGUAA
This 3953-nucleotide long non-coding RNA is filed under the name Homo sapiens (human). RNAcentral describes it as "ZBED3 antisense RNA 1". Lineage: Eukaryota; Metazoa; Chordata; Mammalia; Primates; Hominidae. The record is from RNAcentral.